This 71-nucleotide transfer RNA is filed under the name Treponema sp. RNAcentral describes it as "tRNA-Cys". It matches the Rfam family "tRNA". From Rfam's summary of the family: Transfer RNA (tRNA) molecules are approximately 80 nucleotides in length. Their secondary structure includes four short double-helical elements and three loops (D, anti-codon, and T loops). Lineage: Bacteria; Pseudomonadati; Spirochaetota; Spirochaetia; Treponematales; Treponemataceae. The record is from RNAcentral.
GGCGCCGUACCCAAGUGGUAAGGGAGAGGUCUGCAAAACCUUCAGCGACGGUUCAAUUCCGCCCGGCGCCU